Molecule: unclassified non-coding RNA, 346 nt
Filed under: soil metagenome
Description: partial contains 5.8S ribosomal RNA, internal transcribed spacer 2, and large subunit ribosomal RNA
Rfam family: 5.8S ribosomal RNA (bases 1-120)
Source: RNAcentral
GAUGAAGAACGUAGCGAAAUGCGAUAAGUAGUGUGAAUUGCAGAAUUCCGUGAAUCAUCGAAUCUUUGAACGCACAUUGCGCCUCCUGGUAGUCCGGGAGGCAUGCCUGUUCGAGCGUCACCAAAUCCAACUCAAGCGGUUUUGCGCUUGGUCGUGGCGGAAGAGUCGGUCUGGUUGCCGUCUCCCCUCCGAAAAUCAACGGCGGAAAGUCACUGGCAGUCAGCGUAGUAGUAUCGUUCGCCGAACAUCCAGUGGCAUUCCUGCCGACGUACCCCCACAAUUCUCGUGAUUGACCUCGGAUCAGGUAGGGAUACCCGCUGAACUUAAGCAUAUCAAAAGCGGAGGA